AGCCCGUGGCUCAAUGGUAGAGCGUUCGUCUCAAAUACCAAAGGUUGCGGGUUCGAAUCCCAGGUGUGCUA
This is a non-coding RNA of Schistocephalus solidus, 71 nucleotides long. The record is from Rfam. NCBI's taxonomy places the organism in Eukaryota, Metazoa, Platyhelminthes, Cestoda, Diphyllobothriidea, Diphyllobothriidae.